GUCUACGGCCAUGCCACCCCGAACAGGUCCGAUGUCUGAUCUUGGAAUCUAAGCAGAGUCGGGCCUGGUUAAUACUUGGAUGGGAGACCACCUAGGAAGACCAGUUGCUGUAGGCA
Molecule: ribosomal RNA, 116 nt
Filed under: Pteropus alecto (black flying fox)
Lineage: Eukaryota; Metazoa; Chordata; Mammalia; Chiroptera; Pteropodidae
Source: RNAcentral